RNAcentral lists this ribosomal RNA (496 nucleotides) under uncultured bacterium. RNAcentral's name for it is "partial 16S ribosomal RNA". It matches the Rfam family "Bacterial small subunit ribosomal RNA", at positions 28 to 506 of the family's 1533-position model. The record is from RNAcentral.
GAUGAACGCUGGCGGCGUGCCUAAUACAUGCAAGUCGAGCGAACAGACGAGGAGCUUGCUCCUCUGACGUUAGCGGCGGACGGGUGAGUAACACGUGGAUAACCUACCUAUAAGACUGGUAUAACUUCGGGAAACCGGAGCUAAUACCGGAUAAUAUAUUGAACCGCAUGGUUCAAUAGUGAAAGACGGUUUUGCUGUCACUUAUAGAUGGAUCCGCGCCGCAUUAGCUAGUUGGUAAGGUAACGGCUUACCAAGGCAACGAUGCGUAGCCGACCUGAGAGGGUGAUCGGCCACACUGGAACUGAGACACGGUCCAGACUCCUACGGGAGGCAGCAGUAGGGAAUCUUCCGCAAUGGGCGAAAGCUUGACGGAGCAACGCCGCGUGAGUGAUGAAGGUCUUCGGAUCGUAAAACUCUGUUAUUAGGGAAGAACAAAUGUGUAAGUAACUAUGCACGUCUUGACGGUACCUAAUCAGAAAGCCACGGCUAACUACGU